AAAAAAGUAUUCUCUCUUCAUUCUUGGAGUAAAAACUGAGAACCAGGUGGUUUGCUCUCAUGAACCAAAACUGGUUAACUACUAAUAUUCAUGUGCCGAUACAAAUAUUCUCUGAUUGCACCACAAAUGUUGGGUCAUUCACAAUUUUGUUUCCACCUACGAUAUCUUGUACUAAUGGUGCUUUUGUUGGUUUCUGUAAAUUGGCUGGUGGACAGAUAGUUGGCUAUAUUGCUGACAGAUAGCUGGUUGCACAAUUACCUGUUGAUAAGGCGAUUGAACUGUGGGGUUUUAGCAGGGAGUUUGAAGUCCUAUUUGGUGCCAAGCUCCUAAACUGAGAAGGCACAGUAGGCACACAAGUAACUAUUGUUUCUAUGCUCCAAACUUAGAUGUUCUAAGCUCUCCAUGAUUAGGAAAUAUCUAUUGUUUCUGUGCACCAAAUCCAAGUUGCAGGUACCUCCAAGUUUUUAUUUAAUGUUGUUAAUCUACUUCAAUAUCGUCUAGCUACAAGUUGAUGUGAAUCUAUGAUUGUGUUAUAUAGGGCUUCAAUCCUAGCAUUGGUCACGUGUUAUGACAGUGUGGUCGAGCAUGAGAUUUGAACCACUAAUUGUGUUAUGUCGAGCUUGUAUAAGCUAUCCUUUAUUAUCUAUCCUUAUUAUCUUCAGAUACAUGUGAUCAGCGAUCAUCUAUAGAGUAAUUUGAACUCUAUGUGCUGUAGACUUUUUACUCAUAACCUCCACAUUCCUAAACUUAUGUUUUUUAAGUUUGAGAUGAUGAUGUGCUUAUGUGAAGUUAAUGCUGACAACAAUACUAUUGGAUGGUAAGCUAAGAUAUUUCAUUUUCAACUAAUAUCAUAUAGAUACUUGGUUAAUUGAGAAUUAGUCAGUUGUGUAUUGCACAACUAAGAAGCAUACAAGUGUUUAUGCCUCUGAUAUGUUUGUCACCUUUUACUGGUCUAGAAUCGAUGAUAACAUUAGCUUUCUUAGCCAUAAGAGUUUUUUGUGCUUCCUUCUAUAUCACUAUUUGUUGGGAACUUUGCGCUUUUAACUAUGGUGGAGCAAUAUGGGCAUGUCGGCGCUACAGAAAGUUGUAGCAGCGGUAGUCCACGAUGUCAACGCUGAGGGCUGGGAUCGAGGAUUGGAGGGGUGAGAGGCGGGCCCGACGACGGUGGGGGUGGGCGUGGGCGUGGAGGAGUGUUCGGUGCUGCGGGAGGUGGUGGUGGCAGCGUAGUCCAUGGCCAUGAUGAUGUGUCUCCAGCUUGAGAAGGCCGAGGUCCAAAUGGAGCUCCACCAGUUCCACUGAGUUUUGCUUAAGUCUUCUGGAUGGCACACUCCUGUCGUACCACAAAUCAGAACCAAUGCGUCAAUAGGCACCGUAGUUGAUAAUAAUAUCUGCCACCCAACAGAAUUUGAUUUCUUCCUGUGCAUCCAUGCUGGGGCCAAGGGAACAAGCCGUCCUACGCAUUACCAUGUGCUACGAGAUGACAACAAGUUCACCGCAGAUGCUCUGCAGUCUCUAACAUAUAACUUGUGCUACAUUUUCAGUGCGCAGAUCAUCCAGGGCGGACCUAUAAGAUGUCAAGUGUGUACGCCCCAACAACCCACAGAUGCGGCUCGACGCUCUCCAUCGUCUGGUAUACCAGGAUAGGCUUCAAGAGAGGCUAA
Long non-coding RNA from Zea mays, 1661 nucleotides. RefSeq lists it as uncharacterized. The record is from RefSeq and is a predicted model, not a curated record. The transcript is spliced from 6 exons. NCBI's taxonomy places the organism in Eukaryota, Viridiplantae, Streptophyta, Magnoliopsida, Poales, Poaceae.